This 253-nucleotide ribosomal RNA is filed under the name uncultured bacterium. RNAcentral's name for it is "partial 16S ribosomal RNA". It matches the Rfam family "Bacterial small subunit ribosomal RNA", at positions 524 to 776 of the family's 1533-position model. The record is from RNAcentral.
UACGAAGGGUGCAAGCGUUACUCGGAAUUACUGGGCGUAAAGCGUGCGUAGGUGGUUUGUUAAGUCUGUUGUGAAAGCCCCGGGCUCAACCUGGGAAUGGCAAUGGAUACUGGCAGGCUAGAGUGCGGUAGAGGGUAGUGGAAUUCCAGGUGUAGCGGUGAAAUGCGUAGAUAUCUGGAGGAACACCGGUGGCGAAGGCGGCAUUCUGGACCAUAACUGACACUGAGAGACGAAAGCCAGGGGAGCAAACGGG